Pogoniulus pusillus (Red-fronted tinkerbird) is the source of this 567-nucleotide long non-coding RNA. RefSeq lists it as uncharacterized. NCBI's taxonomy places the organism in Eukaryota, Metazoa, Chordata, Aves, Piciformes, Lybiidae. The transcript has 2 exons. The record is from RefSeq and is a predicted model, not a curated record.
CCCUCCCCCGAGAUGGGCUGGCUGCGGAGCGGCCUGAGGCGGCGGCACCCCCGCUCCCGACCCUGAGGUGUCACCCGCUGAUGCGGCCGAGGGUGUGAUUGAAUGUAAACGGGCGAUCCGGGCGAGGGGCGGCACUGGGGGGACUCGAAGGUAGCGCCGGGCCCGGCAGUCUGCCCGGGGCUGAAACAAGCUCGGACGGUGUGAAAGGGAGUGACCGAGUCAUCUGCCUUUCCUUUUUUUAUUCGGUAGUGCUUUCAUGUGAGAGGUGAUUUUUAACUCCCUCCGCCCCGAAGUUUGCCUGUCCGGUAGCGCUGAAGACCUCUGUUGUGCUUAGUCUGUGAAUAGCUCCUUCAGAAAACAAACAGUUGCACCAUACGUUCUUCCUUUCGCUCCCUGUACUCAGCCUAGGAGAGGUACCCUGAUAGAUGCAGAAGUUUUCAUCUUGUAGGUGUGAUUUCUAACUGACAUGAUGUUGUAAUAAAGUUAUGAGUUACCAGCUCCUGCUUAACCUGCAUACUAUAUAUCUAAUGUUCAAUGUUGCCUAUUAAAAUAAAAUUCUUGAAUUCA